This is a non-coding RNA of Xylariaceae sp. FL1019, 97 nucleotides long. Lineage: Eukaryota; Fungi; Ascomycota; Sordariomycetes; Xylariales; Xylariaceae. The record is from the annotation of a GenBank genome assembly.
GGUCUGCUAGCUCAGUUGGUUAGAGCGUCGUACUAAUACUCCAUUCCAUGGAUUAUCGGUAAUGCGAAGGUCAUGAGUUCGACCCUCAUGUGGACCA